Molecule: ribosomal RNA, 254 nt
Filed under: uncultured bacterium
Lineage: Bacteria
Description: partial 16S ribosomal RNA
Rfam family: Bacterial small subunit ribosomal RNA
Source: RNAcentral
CACAGGGGAUGCAAGCGUUACUCGGAAUUACUGGGCGUAAAGCGUCUGCAGGUUUCCUUCCACGUCUGGUGUAAAAGCACUGGGGCCCAACCCCGUGUACGUACCGGAAACGAGAGGGAUCGAGUCACUCAGAGGCAUCUGGAAUGUCGUGUGUAGGGGUAAAAUCCGUAGAUCCACGAUGGAACGCCAAAAGCGAAGGCAGGAUGCUGGGGGUGUACUGACACUCAGAGACGAAAGCGUGGGGAGCAAAGGGG